UACAGAGGUCUCAAGCGUUGUUCGGACUCAUUGGGCGUAAAGGGUGCGUAGGCGGCGCGGUAAGUCGGGUGUGAAAUCUCGGAGCUUAACUCCGAAACUGCAUUCGAUACUGCCGUGCUUGAGGACUGGAGAGGAGACUGGAAUUUACGGUGUAGCGGUGAAAUGCGUAGAUAUCGGGAGGAACACCAGUGGCGAAGGCGGCGAUCUGGGUCGAUACUGACGCUGAGGUGCGAAAGCGUGGGGAGCAAACAGG
Molecule: ribosomal RNA, 253 nt
Filed under: uncultured bacterium
Lineage: Bacteria
Description: partial 16S ribosomal RNA
Rfam family: Bacterial small subunit ribosomal RNA
Source: RNAcentral